This 500-nucleotide ribosomal RNA is filed under the name uncultured bacterium. RNAcentral describes it as "bacterial SSU rRNA". It matches the Rfam family "Bacterial small subunit ribosomal RNA", at positions 380 to 869 of the family's 1533-position model. The record is from RNAcentral.
ACCCUGACCCAGCGACGCCGCGUGCGNGAGGAAGCCCUUCGGGGUGUAAACCNCUGUCAGAGGGGAAGAAAGUUUNGGGUGGCGAAUAGUCACCCGAAGCGACGGUACCCUCAAAGGAAGCGCCGGCUAACUCUGUGCCAGCAGCCGCGGUAAGACAGAGGGCGCGAGCGUUGUUCGGAAUUACUNGGGCGUAAAGCGCGCGUAGGCGGCCCUUAAAGUCGCAAGUGAAAUUUCGCAGCUCAACUGCGAAGCUGCUUGCGAGACUUNUGGGCUAGGGACCGGUAGAGGCCGGUGGAAUUGCUGGUGUAGCGGUGAAAUGCGUAGAGAUCAGCAAGAACACCCGUGGCGAAGGCGGCCGGCUGGGCCGAGUCCGACGCUGAGGCGCGAAAGCGUGGGGAGCAAACAGGAUUAGAUACCCUGGUAGUCCACGCCGUAAACGAUGGGCACUAGGUGCUGCGGGGAGCGACCCCGGCAGUGCCGCAGCUAACGCGAAAGUCCCC